Molecule: long non-coding RNA, 937 nt
Organism: Rana temporaria (common frog)
Lineage: Eukaryota; Metazoa; Chordata; Amphibia; Anura; Ranidae
Exons: 4
Source: RefSeq, a predicted model, not a curated record
GGCGCCGCCAUCUUGGUGAGGAUCACGUGGACGACUGUUUGCGCGCGCAGCACUUGUGUUUGGCUCGGAGAUAAAGCGGAGGUGCCUACGUACAGCAAACCACUGCAUCUAGAGGGCGCGUGCAAACAGGAAGUGACUGGAAGGAAUCUAAUGCAAUGCAACAAAGGGUCAAAAUGUUAAAAAUAUGGAAAACGUCUACGAUCCACAGUAAAAGUAUUUAAAGUGAAACUAAGGUUCUACUGUUACAACGUGUGAGCUGGCAUGCUCUUUAUUGUUGAAGAGCCAUGCAAUAUUAGGCCCUAUAGCCUGUGUGGGGCCUGAUGUGGAGAUAGGCCUGAAGUGGUCCUGGAGCUCUCCUGCCUUUUGAUGGGGAAAGUUGUGCCAAGGAGGAGACCCAGGGGAGCACUCUUCUUGUUGCAAGGGCCUGGUCACUCACUUCGAGAAAGACACACUGAAGCCUAGGAAAAAGCUGUGAAGCUGAACAUGGAGGAAGUCUGUACAGUAACUCAUCAUGUAAAUUUAGAAAAUAUUGUUCCCCAACCCAUCAACAAAUUCUGGCAAAUUAAAACCCAAUUCUUACCCCAUAAUUACUUCUAAGUCACUUCCCGACAAGUUUUUACCUGCAUGCUCUUUUUGGAUCAGAGAAUUCGACCAAGACAUUCAGCAAACAGAAUUUUCAAAGGAGGUACACAGUGGUAGCAUUUUUACUCUCAUGACAGAUUUCCUUAAAGCUGUUAAUCAUUGAGGUGCAUUUUUGCUUCAGUAUGUUGUAUACAUGUUUUAGGUGGAUUUUACAUAUCCUACAAUUGAAUUCUAUGUAAUGGCAGCAAAGAUGCAGCAAGCAGAACUUUUUCCAAUGCACCUAAUGCUUCGUGCACACGAUCGGGCAUUUGCCCGGCCAAAUCACAUCGGAAUUCAAUCGGAAAAAUAUUUAACA